This is a long non-coding RNA of Prunus persica (peach), 501 nucleotides long. RefSeq lists it as uncharacterized. The record is from RefSeq and is a predicted model, not a curated record. The transcript has 4 exons. Lineage: Eukaryota; Viridiplantae; Streptophyta; Magnoliopsida; Rosales; Rosaceae.
ACCAAAAGUUAAUUUUCUGAUAAAGAAGAAUUCUAUUUACACCCAAGGCCAUUCUCUGGACACCCAGCCACAAAGCUUUUGUUAGAGUUUUUCAACUUUACCCCAACAAGAAAUUCUACCAGUAUAGAGAAAACACGGCAGCAUUUCAGGUGAACAUUUGCUUUCAGCUUCGGAAGGUAAGGGGGUUUGAUAAUUGCCGGAUUGAGAUAAAGAACUCGGACCCGAAGAUUGCGAUCUUGAGCAGGACCAGCAUGUGAAUGGACAGAAAGAAGCUGACAUCAAAUUCUUCUUGGAAGCACACUUUGGCCUGCUGGGAUCAUGCUAGACAUCAAGAAAUCAUUGUACAAAAAAUUAUCCAAGUGGUUACAAGAUAAAUCUUCUAUGGGAUUGGCACUGAUGUGCAAGUCAUACACUGGCAUUGGAGACCAUUUUGUGCAUAAUGUAAUGAGUGUAGCCAAGGAGUUGUUUGAGCUGCCUUAUGAAGUCAAAAGCAAAGCUUCU